AGAAUCAACGCUGGCGGCGUGCCUCAGACAUGCAAGUCGAACGAUUAAAGCUCUCUUCGGAGAGUGUAUAGAGUGGCGCACGGGUGAGUAACACGUAAGUAAUCUACCUUUGAGUGGGGAAUAACAUCGGGAAACCGAUGCUAAUACCGCAUAAUGCAGCGGCAUCGCAAGAUGACAGUUGUUAAAGAUUUUAUCGCUUGAAGAGGAGCUUGCGGCAGAUUAGCUUGUUGGUAAGGUAACGGCUUACCAAGGCUACGAUCUGUAACCGGUCUAAGAGGACGGUCGGUCACACUGACACUGAAUAACGGGUCAGACUCCUACGGGAGGCAGCAGUCGGGAAUUUUGGCAAUGGGCGAAAGCCUGACCCAGCAACGCCGCGUGAAGGAUGAAGUAUUUCGGUAUGUAAACUUCGAAAGAAGUAGGAAGAAUCAAUGACGGUACCAUUUAUAAGGUCCGACUAACUACGUGCCAGUCGACGCCGAGUAACUCGUAG
This 493-nucleotide ribosomal RNA is filed under the name uncultured soil bacterium. RNAcentral's name for it is "bacterial SSU rRNA". It matches the Rfam family "Bacterial small subunit ribosomal RNA", at positions 26 to 530 of the family's 1533-position model. The record is from RNAcentral.